This 632-nucleotide ribosomal RNA is filed under the name Crossoptilon crossoptilon (white-eared pheasant). Its description in RNAcentral is "partial small subunit ribosomal RNA". It matches the Rfam family "Bacterial small subunit ribosomal RNA", at positions 299 to 1255 of the family's 1533-position model. Lineage: Eukaryota; Metazoa; Chordata; Aves; Galliformes; Phasianidae. RNAcentral also lists the same sequence under 1 other name. The record is from RNAcentral.
GGUAGCCCAAGACACCUUGCCUUAGCCACACCCCCACGGGUAUUCAGCAGUAAUUAACCUUAAGCAAUAAGUGUAAACUUGACUUAGCCAUAGCAAUUCAGGGUUGGUAAAUCUUGUGCCAGCCACCGCGGUCAUACAAGAGACCCAAAUCAAUAGCCGCCCGGCGUAAAGAGUGGCCAUAUGUUAUCCCACUACCUAAGAUCAAAAUGCAACUAAGCUGUCAUAAGCCCAAGAUUCACUUAAGCCCCUUCAAACCAUCUUAGCCCUACGACUAAUUUUACCCCACGAAAGCUAGGGCACAAACUGGGAUUAGAUACCCCACUAUGCCUAGCCCUAAAUCUAGAUGCUCAAAUACCCAUGCAUCCGCCCGAGAACUACGAGCACAAACGCUUAAAACUCUAAGGACUUGGCGGUGCCCCAAACCCACCUAGAGGAGCCUGUUCUAUAAUCGAUAGUCCACGAUUCACCCAACCACCCCUUGCCAACACAGCCUACAUACCGCCGUCGCCAGUCCACCUAAAAUGAAAGAUCAACAGUGGGCUCAAUAGUCCACCACUAACAAGACAGGUCAAGGUAUAGCCCAUGGGGUGGAAGAAAUGGGCUACAUUUUCUACCAUAGAAUAAACGAAAGA